UGAGUAACACGUGGGCAACCUGCCCUGCAGAUCGGGAUAACUCCGGGAAACCGGUGCUAAUACCGAAUAGUUUGUUUCACCUCCUGGUGAAACACGGAAAGACGGUUUCGGCUGUCACUGCAGGAUGGGCCCGCGGCGCAUUAGCUAGUUGGUGGGGUAAUGGCCCACCAAGGCGACGAUGCGUAGCCGACCUGAGAGGGUGAUCGGCCACACUGGGACUGAGACACGGCCCAGACUCCUACGGGAGGCAGCAGUAGGGAAUCUUCCGCAAUGGACGAAAGUCUGACGGAGCAACGCCGCGUGAGUGACGAAGGUUUUCGGAUCGUAAAACUCUGUUGUGAGGGAAGAACAAGUACCAACUAACUACUGGUACCUUGACGGUACCUCACCAGAAAGCCACGGCUAACUACGUGCCAGCAGCCGCGGUAAUACGUAGGUGGCAAGCGUUGUCCGGAAUUAUUGGGCGUAAAGCGCGCGCAGGCGGUCCCUUAAGUCUGAUGUGAAAGCCCACGGCUCAACCGUGGAGGGUCAUUG
This 534-nucleotide ribosomal RNA is filed under the name Planococcus sp. E47. RNAcentral's name for it is "bacterial SSU rRNA". It matches the Rfam family "Bacterial small subunit ribosomal RNA", at positions 107 to 628 of the family's 1533-position model. Lineage: Bacteria; Bacillati; Bacillota; Bacilli; Caryophanales; Caryophanaceae. The record is from RNAcentral.